This 336-nucleotide ribosomal RNA is filed under the name Triticum aestivum (bread wheat). RNAcentral's name for it is "partial small subunit ribosomal RNA". Lineage: Eukaryota; Viridiplantae; Streptophyta; Magnoliopsida; Poales; Poaceae. The record is from RNAcentral.
AUGGGUGAUCUGAAUGAACUUCUGUAUGAUAUGGAUAAAAGUAAUGCUAAUGUGAAUUAUCAUCACAUGUAUGCUUUUCAUGCUUUGGUUAAGAAUUGUGGGUUUUUUUAUCUGUGAUUUUCGAGGCCUGCUUAUACUUGGACUAAUAGGAUAUUUUCUUCUAAACCUACUUAUGAAAGGCUCGAUAGAGGUUUAGUUAAUCAUUAUUGGUGUUCUUAGUACCCCCUCACUAAAUUUCUUAAUCUUCCUAUUAUUCUUAGUUAUCAUGCUCCCAUCCUUAUCACCACUGAAGGACAGUACAAAAAACCUAAACAAAGCUUCAAGUUUUAUAAUUAG